RNAcentral lists this ribosomal RNA (1244 nucleotides) under metagenome. RNAcentral's name for it is "bacterial LSU rRNA". It matches the Rfam family "Bacterial large subunit ribosomal RNA", at positions 1564 to 2817 of the family's 2925-position model. The record is from RNAcentral.
UGAAUACGAGACGCUACGGCGUCGAAGCAGUCUAUGUCAUACUUCCAAGAAAAGCUCGCAAUGUCAUAAACAAAUAAUGCCUGUACCAUAACCGACACAGGUGGGUAGGUAGAGUAUACUAAGGGGCGCGAGAUAACUCUCUCUAAGGAACUCGGCAAAAUGACUCCGUAACUUCGGGAGAAGGAGUGCCUUAUUUAUAAGGUUGCAAUAACAAGAUCCAAGCAACUGUUUAUCAAAAACACAGGUCUCCGCUAAGUCGUAAGACGAUGUAUGGGGGCUGACGCCUGCCCAGUGCCAGAAGGUUAAAGAAGUUGGUUAGCAUUCGCGAAGCUGAUAACUGAAGCCCUGGUGAACGGCGGCCGUAACAAUAACGGUCCUAAGGUAGCGAAAUUCCUUGUCGGGUAAGUUCCGACCCGCACGAAAGGCGUAAUGAUUUGGAUACUGUCUCGGAGAGGGGCUCGGUGAAAUAGACUUGUCUGUGAAGAUGCGGACUACCUGCACCUGGACAGAAAGACCCUAUGAAGCUUUACUGUAACUUGAAAUUGAAAUUGGACUUUAUUUGCGCAGCAUAGGUGGGAGGCGUUGAGAGUAUUCUUGCGGGAAUAUUGGAGCCAUCAGUGAGAUACCACUCUUGUAAUGUUAGAUUUCUAACUUUGGAUCAUUAUCUGGUCAAAGAACAGUUUCAGGCGGGCAGUUUGACUGGGGCGGUCGCCUCCCAAAUGGUAACGGAGGCGUACAAAGGUUUCCUCUGAACGGGUAGAAAUCGUAUCUAGAGUGUAAAGGCAUAAGGAAGCUUGACUGUGAGACCUACAAGUCGAGCAGGGACGAAAGUCGGUCUUAGUGAUCUGACGGUGCUGAGUGGAAAGGCCGUCACUCAACGGAUAAAAGUUACUCUAAGGAUAGCAGGCUGAUCUCCCCCAAGAGUUCACAUCGACGGGGAGGUUUGGCACCUCGAUGUCGGCUCAUCGCAUCCUGGGGCGGUAGUACGUCCCAAGGGUUGGGCUGUUCGCCCGUGAAAGCGGUACGCGAGCUGGGUUCAGAACGUCGUGAGACAGUUCGGUCCAUAUCCGGUGUAGGCGUUAGAAUAUUGAGAGGAGCCUUCUUUAGUACGAGAGGACCGAGAAGGACAUACCUCUGGUGUACCAGUUAUCGUGCCAACGGUAAACGCUGGGUAGCUAUGUAUGGAGAGGAUAACCGCUGAAAGCAUCUAAGUGGGAAGCCCACCUCAAGAUAAGUAUUCUCAU